CACCUGUCAGAGUUGGCAUGCAAGAAGAUCCUUCAGUGAUUCAUUGAUCUGGAAAAGAACAAUCUUUACAACUCUAAAAGAAAUGAUAGCCAUGGAGUAGUUUACUUGAGGAAUCUGAUCAACAUUUCUGGCAUUCAGUCAGGAAGAGUAACAUUUUCCUUUCUUAUGCAUGGUAUGUUUUUUCCUUCAGGGAAAGUCUAGGGAUUUUUCCUAGAAAUCUAGAGGUUAAGAACUUUUUCAGUGAUCCCUCUGGUUCCUGAGAGGGCAGAGAAAAUAAAUAACCAGAAAUAAAAUUUUAAUGUCAUGAUGGUUUGAGUAUGAA
This is a long non-coding RNA of Vitis vinifera (wine grape), 322 nucleotides long. RefSeq lists it as uncharacterized. The transcript is spliced from 2 exons. The record is from RefSeq and is a predicted model, not a curated record. Lineage: Eukaryota; Viridiplantae; Streptophyta; Magnoliopsida; Vitales; Vitaceae.